Molecule: transfer RNA, 110 nt
Filed under: Microcaldota archaeon
Lineage: Archaea; Nanobdellati; Microcaldota
Description: Candidatus Micrarchaeota archaeon (hot springs metagenome) tRNA-OTHER
Rfam family: tRNA
About the family: Transfer RNA (tRNA) molecules are approximately 80 nucleotides in length. Their secondary structure includes four short double-helical elements and three loops (D, anti-codon, and T loops).
Source: RNAcentral
CGCAGUAGCUCAGCUGGUUAGAGCGCCAGUUCUUUUUAAGGCGUGACUCAUAGGUUUUAACUCAAGAUUGAGCCAUCUGGAGGUGGGGGGUUCAACUCCCCCCUGCGGCA